CCUCUGCCUCCCAGCCCUCGGGCUCGGACACAUCCACGCCGCAGGGAGGGCCCUGGGGACACUUUCCGGUGCCGUCCCCAAAAUGACUGACCGUGCCACGUGCCCUGCCCACCAGGUUCACACGAGACAGCCAGGCAUGCAAAGGCAGGGGGCUGUAUGAUCUGGCAUCUCUUUCGGCCGUUAGCGGAGGCGCGUCCUUCCCGGGCAUCGGCUCCCUAAUUAGUUCUAUUGGUUUCAACAGUUCGGCGGACUCGGUGAAUGUAAUAUUUAACACCCUAGAGGGAAGCCUUUCACGCCGAUGCCUCUUUCAUCAUCUCUGCCCAUCUGGUGCUCACUUUAAGCUCGCGGAGCACCACCUGCUUGGAAAACAAUGAACCUGUGCAGGUCCCCGGUCCUGCAGAGCCGCUGGACCCCACGGGGAAGGCGCGGGGGGCACCAGCAGCACCCGCACCAUCCCUCUGCCUGGCUGCAUGCCCCGAUGUCCCCUCCUUCGAGCAGUCGUUGUCACUGCACGGCCACCCCAUGAUCUGCUGAGGACUGGUCCUGAGAAGUGUGAUGGUUGCUGAUGCACAGGGAGCGAGGUGCUGAUUCCCAGAAAGAAUUACUCUGGAGGAUGUCGUGAAAUGCCCGCUGUGCGCACAGGGGUGGUGCAAACGGGGAUGUGGGUAGGGAAAUGCUCCCUCAGCCCAACACUAUGCUCUCAUCAUCACCACCUUGCUCAGAUUAAGCAGGGAUGAAGGACGGCACACCAACAACAGCGGUGGUGCAACUCCACAAUGACAAAGAGAGGAGCAAUGGGUCCUGUGCACGAGUUGGGGUGCCAGCAGGAGCGCCGUCACAGGCCAGGACCCCUGCACCCAGUGACCCCAUGUGGCCACACACAUCUCCCCACUGGGUCUGCACGGACACGGCAACCAGGCCGACAGAAACCAUUUGCUUGCUGCAGCCACAGCACCGCAGCUGAUGUUGGGAGACACGGGCAGGAGGACGCGUCUGGAAAUGAUUAGAUUGCUUCCAGUGACUGACACCUGCUAAUAACCUGGAAGAUGGGUAGAGGAUACUUACAUUGUCAUCUCCCGCUAUCUACAACUUCAUUUUCCAUCAUCUUUGGCACUCAAGGACAGCAGCAAAGGAUAUUAUUGCUGCCGUUAUUGUUAGUGUUAUUAUUUAAGCCACGCAGCCACAAAUCUGCAGGUACCUGGGCUGGGCUGGGCGGACAGAUUACCCCACGAGAUUCUCCUUCAGAUCAGAGGGGAAUUUAUUGCAAGGAUUAUGUACAACGUAUUUCUCUAUUAAGUUAAAAUAAGAUUCCCCUUAAAGGUUCAGCACGUUAAGCAACAGCUGGAAGGACGGGGGCUUUAACCUCACGCUCAGCCACAGAGCCAGGCGUGGAGGGAAGAUGGAUGGAGGCGCACUCCGAGGGAAAGAGAAUAAUAUCCCCCGUUUGCAAUGCUGAACUGCAUCUUGGGCCUCCUGCCUACCCGCACAAAGCCUAUUAGCUUCAUCGGGGCUGAAAGAAUUAAAUAAAUAAAUUCGCCAGCACACAACAGUGCCUAGGGCAGGGAAGUUAAAGGACAUUAUAACUCUUUAAUUACAUCAGUCUUGGAGAGAAAAGAGCUGUCGUUCCCUCCUUCUUCCCUCCGGGGAACUCCUGGUAUCUACCUCGGCCAGAACCCCCUUAGGAAAGUUGUCGCAACGUAUGUCUUCCCCGUGCUUCAUGCCAGGGACGGCUUUAGCCCGGUAUUAAUAUUCCCCACCCACUAUUUACCGCGCUUGCAUACACACACGGAGACACACAAACACGCCUUUCAUCUCCUGCCUUGAAAGGAGGAGAGAAAAAAAAAAUAAAAAACCACCUUAGUUAAGCUUUCGAGAUAAGAGAGUCAUGUACGAGUCCGGGCUUUAGGCUGCCAAGGGAGGAUUUCCCUCUGAGAGCACCUGAAGGCCGCUUGCAACGUGGGAUUGCAAAGAAAUCACGAGCACGAGGGGAGGACGUGGCUGAGCCAUCCUCCCCCUCCCCAAUUCCUCCUCUGCUCAGCCCCUCGCUUACCGCGGUGCCGCACGGAGCCAUCAAAGAGCAUCCCGAGAGCGCCGCGUGCUUCCUCAAAUAAGCAUGUUUUUAAAUAAAUAUCUCCCUGACAAAAACGUCCUUUGUAGGAAUGAAAAUGGUUGUCAGAAACCUAUCAGCCACCUCCUAAAAGAUCCCAUUAUGCUGCUGUAUUGAACUCCUUUUUUUUUUUUUUUACCAAGAAAGUUAUUGAAAUAGUGACGGAAACAGCCAAUAGCACUUUCAAUUAAAAAUGUAUCACAGUGUUUUGUGAUUUAAAAGCAAACAAACAAGAAAGGCCCAUGAAAUGUUAAUGCCCACGUGAGCGGGUUUGAUUGCUGGUCGUUGUCUGUUUGUCAGACAUUUCCAACUAUCAAUUAAUUAUCAAAACCGGGCCGGGAGGCUGGAGCCUGAUGCAGGUGCCUGGCGACGCAGAGCCCCUUGCCCAGCAGAAAGCUGGGCACGGUGAGGGGUGAGGAAUUCAGACCUCAGAGCGUGGCCACCGCUGUCCAUCACAAUUUCGGCACCGAGCACCAGGUCACAGCAGGGUUCCUGCAAGGUCUCAUCCUUCCGCCCCUCUGCACCAGCACCAGGAGGGGCUGCGCCCUGCUCGCCUUGGAGCCAAGGCUCUGUGAUGUCAGGAAACGGGCAGCCACGUCACAAAACCCCAAAAAUCUUUUCCAGCAGCCUCCGGCAUUGCACAGGGCGAUGCCGGAGGUGGGGCAGCUCCCCAAAGGGCUCUGAAAGUGGACAGCAACAGGGGGAGGCUCAGCCCCGCAGCAGCCGCUCCUGCAGCGCUUUGCAGAGCCCUUGCAAGCAGCAGCUUUUAUUCCAGAAGAGAGGAGAAAAAAAUAAAAAAUAAAACGGGAAACCCUCUGAGCUGUGGCUGGUAGAUAAGGAGAUAUGGCAGAGUCGGGAGGCAAUGGCCCAAGGGGCCCAUUAACAAGAUUCCUCCCACACAACCUGCACGAGCCCAGCCCAUCAAUAAAGGCUGCUCUCCUCCCCAGCCAGCCUUGCGUGGCUCCCAACUUUCCGGCUACGGGCUGCAGAUUGGAUUCUUCCGUCAUCACCACAAAAACAGAUGAAUCGGCCACGGCUGAGGGACCUGUGAUAAGCCAGGACCCUUUAGGCACGGAGGCGCACUCCGUAAAACCGCCGCUGCCUUUCAGCACAGCCGGGUCCCGCGGCACCGGGGUGGGCGCCCCGCAAACUGCCCCUGCUCUCUGCCGCUGGAGCCCGGAGCCAUUUCGGCGCCGGCUUUUCUACUUCUGCAACAGGCAACUGGUCCUGCACGGGCUGGAAAUGGUGCAGGACCCUGCCCAGGUCGUGGUGGCUUUGGUCUGUAAAGCUGGAGCUGCUCGCGGCCCCACGGCAAUGAUGGGGCAUCGCCACCCAACCAAGCUCUGACUUCUCCCCGGCCCGGGGUGACGGCAACCAGCACUUGGAGGAAGAAGAGGAGGCGGGGAGGAGAAGAAAAGGAAAGCAAAGCCAAGCAGCAGCCACCUGGUUUUCGCUCACCACCCCGCCAGCGAGCGGCACGGCCCCGCUCCAGCACACCGCCAGCACCAUGCACCCAAGAGGGAACGGCGGCGAGAGGCGGGGAUGCUCCUGGCACCACGACCUUGCUCUUCACUGCUUCAAAGCCCCAUCUUCACUCGCGAGAGCAGGGAAGAAUCAGCGGACCCUCUUUACCUCCCCUUGCCUCCUAAUCCCCAGCUCUCAGGCAGCCCCAGGCAAGGAAAGAAAGCUCCGUGCUGCCGCCGAAGCCCCAGCGCUGCACAAAGCCCGGUGCCGCGCUCCGCGCCGCGGUGCCCCGCUGAGCUAAUGGCCGGGCUGGCGUUAGCGCACAGCUAAAGAGCUGCACGCGUGCCACUGAUUACUGGUAUGGGUCUCCGAGGCCAAAGAAGAAAAGAAAUCCAGUGUAAGAUUGCAAACAAUUACUCCUCUUAGAUAAUCACUGUUUUACAGGCCAGACGUGCGCAUAAAUAUUGCAUAAUGCCGGGGCUCAGCACGUAAUUGUCAGAUAUUAUUCAAACCAAGUCGCCGCUGUAUUGGCAAGAGCUGUGUGCUUGUCACAGCUCGGGGUCAGCCACUGGAUGGAUGAAGGAUUUUGAGGGAAAGCUCAGGGAAGGCAAGAAGCAGACCAGCCGACUUCUGCAGAAGCAGACCAGCGCUGACUUCUGCAAAGCGAUCGCGCGUUCAGCGCAGCGCCGAGUAAAUGGCCCAAGCCGUGACGCUGCAAACCCGCCACAGCUAGCAAAACAGGAAAAAUGUGGCUGUAUGUGAAUGUCGGGGUGUCCCAUCACAAUGAAGAGGGUCCUGCCCAGUGUUGUGCUUUGGGGCUCUUUGCAGACCCAGGAUCUUGCUCUCCCAAAGCUUCUUUUCUAGAGAACUGCCUGCGAAGCGAAGGAGGGAGCAAGGAAAUGAUGACCCCAGCAGCGAAACCGAAGCAGACUUCGGGACAGCGAAGCAGCUGCCUUGACCUUCCCCUGGGAGCUGCAGCGUGUCUUCCUCGACCUUCCUCACCUCAAAGAUGCCUCCAGAGGCAGGAGGAUGCAGGUCUGUGCCGAGCAGCAUCGGCGUGCUGCUUUGCACAGCUCUGCGCAAAGGAACGGGCAGGGCACGGCCGGAUCCCUGGGGCUGUAUUUGUGAGCAAAACCCUCACGGCGCGGAUGUGAGGCGCUUUACAGGUGCACAAGCACAAGGAAAAAGGCGCUGGGCAGCUGCACAGCCUGCUUGCUGCAGCCCGCGGGGCAGAUGUCCCUGCACGAGCUCUUUGCUGGUGGCACCAGGGGCCGGGAGGAGGCAGCGCUCCAGCCACGGCCACCGCACGCGGCACUUUGGACAAGGCUCCUUCCCUUUCCUCCUCUGAAGCUGUUUUGUUGCAAACCAUCUGCUCAGCACCCCACCGUGCACGGCAGCGGCGAGGGGGGCCCAGAUGGACGGCUUCUUUGAUAAUUCUUUAAAACGAGGCACCCAAGCACAACGCUGCCAUAUGCCGAAGGGCCGGCCAGCUCGCCGAGCUGUUCCACGACCCUCCUUCCUUGGCGCGGCCGCGGGCAGCAUCCCACGCGGACUGCAGCGCUCCUCACCUGCCGAGAGCCUGCAAACGCCUCCAGGAGCUGCCCUGUCUCUGCCUAAAACCCAACAACCAGAAGGAGAUGUGAGAUCCUGGGCAGUCUCCGGCUUGCACACCGCGUCCUGAUCUCCCAGGUGCUCGGGGGCAGGUGUCACGCUGCUCUUGAGCUGCCAGAUAUGAGCUAAAACAAGGAGGGCAGGGAGAGGAGGAUGCUCCCGCUGCAGGGUUAGGUUUGGGCCCCGCUCACGCCCACUUUCAGCACAGACACCUGGACGAUUACCCUGCACAACAACCGGGACUUGGCUCCGAGCAUCUCACGAACGACCUUGGUGGCACAGAAGCCAGCUGCUUUCGGGAAAUAAACCCCGCCGGCACAACCUGCCUGGAAGCGCAGGUUGUUCAUUACGAAAGCUCAGCAUCACCUCCAGAGGGUCCUCCGUCCCUCCAUCCCUUCUGCAACUCGUGCUGCAUUCAGGGCAGCUCGGUGCCAGGCAUGAUCCCCCAUCAGGAUGUUUGAGCGUCUUCUGAGCCAAGCCCCUUUGUCCCAGCCCCAUCACGACACCCACUCCUCAGCACGAGCCACCUCGUUACAUCCUGAUGAUGCUCACAACGCUGCCCGAAAGGGGGAACUGCACCGUGGUCAGUGCCCAGGUGCCUCCCAAACCCUGCCACGCAGGGCUCAGCGCACCCACAACCCCUCCAGGUACCUCAGCUGCUCUCCCCCUUUGCCCUCUGGCACCCCGACACCCCCGUGAGGCCCCUUGCUUAUUACAAGCAGAACACAGCCCGGGAUUCCUGAGCAAUCACCAGCUCGCGGGGACUGGGGCUUUAAGGAAAAAACACCUUGCAAAACCCACACCGCAAUCAGAUGGAUUUCGAUAGAAGCUGCAGUGAAGGAUGGCUCUGUGGGAUUUCAGAUAAAUAAAGCCACAAAGGCCGGUGAGAUUGGACUGA
Molecule: long non-coding RNA, 6080 nt
Organism: Cygnus olor (mute swan)
Lineage: Eukaryota; Metazoa; Chordata; Aves; Anseriformes; Anatidae
Exons: 2
Source: RefSeq, a predicted model, not a curated record